RNAcentral lists this ribosomal RNA (520 nucleotides) under uncultured Glomus. Its description in RNAcentral is "SSU rRNA". It matches the Rfam family "Eukaryotic small subunit ribosomal RNA", at positions 569 to 1090 of the family's 1831-position model. Lineage: Eukaryota; Fungi; Glomeromycota; Glomeromycetes; Glomerales; Glomeraceae. The record is from RNAcentral.
AGCAGCCGCGGUAAUUCCAGCUCCAAUAGCGUAUAUUAAAGUUGUUGCAGUUAAAAAGCUCGUAGUUGAAUUUCGGGGUUAGUAGGUUGGUCAUGCCUCUGGUAUGUACUGGUCUCACUGAUUCCUCCUUCCUGAUGAACCUUAAUGCCAUUAAUUUGGUGUUUUGGGGAAUUUGGACUGUUACUUUGAAAAAAUUAGAGUGUUUAAAGCAAGCUAACGCUUGAAUACAUUAGCAUGGAAUAAUGAAAUAGGACGUUCGAUCCUAUUUUGUUGGUUUCUAGGAUUGACGUAAUGAUUAAUAGGGAUAGUUGGGGGCAUUAGUAUUCAAUUGUCAGAGGUGAAAUUCUUGGAUUUAUUGAAGACUAACUACUGCGAAAGCAUUUGCCAAGGAUGUUUUCAUUAAUCAAGAACGAAAGUUAGGGGAUCGAAGACGAUCAGAUACCGUCGUAGUCUUAACCAUAAACNAUGCCGACUAGGGAUCGGAUGAUGUUAAUUUUUUAAUGACUCAUUCGGCGCCUUA